UUGUAAUGAUUUUGGUACUUUGUCCUCUGUUUAUCCACAGAACACGUACAGCCGAACAGCAGCAGUGUAAACUUCUCCAUGCUGUCUGCCAAUAUACCUUGGUCUUUUUCUAGAUGCCCCAAUUAUAGGAACAGAGGAACAGUUCAGUAUCCAUGCCCAUUCAAAUCUUGAAUGUU
This 176-nucleotide small RNA is filed under the name Chelonoidis abingdonii (Abingdon island giant tortoise). RNAcentral's name for it is "TUC338 (ENSCABG00000020762.1)". Lineage: Eukaryota; Metazoa; Chordata; Testudines; Testudinidae. The record is from RNAcentral.